CUCUCGCAUCGAUGAAGAACGUAGCGAAAUGCGAUACUUGGUGUGAAUUGCAGAAUCCCGUGAACCAUCGAGUCUUUGAACGCAAGUUGCGCCCGAAGCCUUUAGGUCGAGGGCACGCCUGCCUGGGCGUCACGCAUCGCGUCUCCCCCCACCCCACCUCG
RNAcentral lists this ribosomal RNA (161 nucleotides) under Grayia brandegeei. Its description in RNAcentral is "5.8S ribosomal RNA". The stretch from base 1 to 132 matches the Rfam family "5.8S ribosomal RNA", at positions 25 to 154 of the family's 154-position model. From Rfam's summary of the family: 5.8S ribosomal RNA (5.8S rRNA) is a component of the large subunit of the eukaryotic ribosome. The record is from RNAcentral. Lineage: Eukaryota; Viridiplantae; Streptophyta; Magnoliopsida; Caryophyllales; Amaranthaceae.